RNAcentral lists this ribosomal RNA (564 nucleotides) under uncultured bacterium. RNAcentral describes it as "bacterial SSU rRNA". It matches the Rfam family "Bacterial small subunit ribosomal RNA", at positions 8 to 572 of the family's 1533-position model. The record is from RNAcentral.
AGAGUUUGAUCCUGGCUCAGGAUGAACGCUGGCGGCGUGCCUAACACAUGCAAGUCGAGCGAAGCACUUGAAUACGAUUCUUCGGAUGAGGAUUCUUGUGACUGAGCGGCGGACGGGUGAGUAACGCGUGGGCAACCUGCCUUACACAGGGGGAUAACAGUUAGAAAUGACUGCUAAUACCGCAUAAGACCACAAAACCGCAUGGUUUGGUGGUAAAAACUCCGGUGGUGUAAGAUGGGCCCGCGUCUGAUUAGGUAGUUGGUGGGGUAACGGCCUACCAAGCCGACGAUCAGUAGCCGACCUGAGAGGGUGACCGGCCACAUUGGGACUGAGACACGGCCCAGACUCCUACGGGAGGCAGCAGUGGGGAAUAUUGCACAAUGGGGGAAACCCUGAUGCAGCGACGCCGCGUGAGCGAUGAAGUAUUUCGGUAUGUAAAGCUCUAUCAGCAGGGAAGAAAAUGACGGUACCUGACUAAGAAGCCCCGGCUAACUACGUGCCAGCAGCCGCGGUAAUACGUAGGGGGCAAGCGUUAUCCGGAUUUACUGGGUGUAAAGGGAGCGU